RNAcentral lists this ribosomal RNA (484 nucleotides) under uncultured bacterium. RNAcentral describes it as "partial 16S ribosomal RNA". It matches the Rfam family "Bacterial small subunit ribosomal RNA", at positions 29 to 507 of the family's 1533-position model. The record is from RNAcentral.
AUUGAACGCUGGCGGCAUGCUUUGCACAUGCAAGUCGAACGGCAGCGCGGGCUUCGGCCUGGCGGCGAGUGGCGAACGGGUGAGUAAUACAUCGGAACGUGCCCAGUAGUGGGGGAUAGCUCGGCGAAAGCCGGAUUAAUACCGCAUACGACCUGAGGGUGAAAGCGGGGGAUCUUCGGACCUCGCGCUAUUGGAGCGGCCGAUGGCAGAUUAGCUAGUUGGUGGGGUAAAGGCCUACCAAGGCGACGAUCUGUAGCUGGUCUGAGAGGACGACCAGCCACACUGGGGCUGAGACACGGCCCAGACUCCUACGGGAGGCAGCAGUGGGGAAUUUUGGACAAUGGGCGAAAGCCUGAUCCAGCAAUGCCGCGUGUGUGAUGAAGGCCUUCGGGUUGUAAAGCACUUUUGGCGGGAACGAAAAGGACUGUGCCAAUACCACGGUUCGAUGACGGUACCCGCAGAAUAAGCACCGGCUAACUACGUG